UAGUACUGAGACAAGGUUCACAGCAUUGUUGUCAAGAAUGCUGAGACCUGAAAUCUUCUUUACUGUUGGUCCAGGUUUUCCAACAACCUGCGGAGAGAUUACAAAUCAGAAAAAAGGUCAUGAUGUGGUAAGCACACUUUAGUGGUUCACUUAUAAUCGCAUACCGGGAGCUUGUUUUCCUUUUUGAAGUCCCUCUCUGUUUUAAAAAUCUGUGGCGUUUACUUUAAAUUUACCUUAUUUCUAACACUGCAGAACCCACUGAAUUGAAGGGUUGCUCCCAACAGCGAAUCUAUGAUACUUCCUAAAAGUCCUGCCACUGCAGAGAGGGGUAUAACCAGUAGCUGCUUCAUGGCCAUACCAGUUGAACAUGUUGUAGUGAAAAAUCCAACAAGAACAAAUGUC
Molecule: long non-coding RNA, 402 nt
Filed under: Theobroma cacao (cacao)
Lineage: Eukaryota; Viridiplantae; Streptophyta; Magnoliopsida; Malvales; Malvaceae
Description: long non-coding RNA (TCAC_LNC005138)
Source: RNAcentral